CUGCGAGGUGUGCUGGAGGUAUCGGAAGUGAGAAUGCUGACAUGAGUAGCGACAAAGAGUGUGAGAAACACUCUCGCCGAAAGUCCAAGGGUUCCUCAGCAAGGCUAAUCCGCUGAGGGUGAGCCGGCCCCUAAGGCAAGGCCGAAAGGCGUAGUCGAUGGGAACUCAGUUUAAUAUUACUGGGCCAGAUGAGAAGUGACGGAUGGUGUAAGUUGUUCCUCCUUAAUGGAUUG
Molecule: ribosomal RNA, 233 nt
Filed under: Oxyrrhis marina
Lineage: Eukaryota; Dinophyceae; Oxyrrhinales; Oxyrrhinaceae
Description: partial Bacterial large subunit ribosomal RNA
Rfam family: Bacterial large subunit ribosomal RNA
Source: RNAcentral